ACACGUAGGGGCCUGACGUUGUUCGGAAUCAUUGGGCGUAAAGGGCGCGCAGGCGGCCGUCCAAGUCCGGUGUUAAAUGGUCGGGCUCAACCCGAUCAUGCGCUGGAAACUGGGCGGCUUGAGUCCCGUAGGGGAUGCCGGAAUUCCAGGUGUAGGGGUGAAAUCUGUAGAUAUCUGGAAGAACACCGAUGGCGAAGGCAGGCAUCUGGCCGGAGACUGACGCUGAGGCGCGAAGGCGCGGGGAGCGAACAGGUUUAGAUACCCUGGUAGUCCGCGCAGUAAACGAUGCGCACCGGGUGUCGGGCGGCAGCGCCCGGUACCGGAGCUAACGCGAUGAGUGCGCCGCCUGGGGAGUAUGCCCGCAAGGGUGAAACUCAAAUGAAUUGGCGGGG
Molecule: ribosomal RNA, 392 nt
Filed under: uncultured bacterium
Lineage: Bacteria
Description: partial 16S ribosomal RNA
Rfam family: Bacterial small subunit ribosomal RNA
Source: RNAcentral